This 831-nucleotide ribosomal RNA is filed under the name uncultured marine bacterium. RNAcentral describes it as "bacterial SSU rRNA". It matches the Rfam family "Bacterial small subunit ribosomal RNA", at positions 50 to 911 of the family's 1533-position model. The record is from RNAcentral.
AAGACUGCAGUCGAGCGCCAUUAAUGGGUAGUAAUACUUGUUAUGCGGAGCGGCAAACGGGUGAGUAACACGUGGGAAUCAACCCAGAAGCAAGGAAUAGCCUACCGAAAGGGAGAUUAAUGCCUUAUGUGACCGAAAGGUUAAAGAUUUAUCACUUCUGGACGAGCCCGCGCCCUAUCAGGUAGUUGGUGAGGUAAUGGCUCACCAAGCUUACGACGGGUAGCUGGUCUGAGAGGACGGUCAGCCACACUGGAACUGAGACACGGUCCAGACACCUACGGGUGGCAGCAGUCGAGAAUCUUUCACAAUGGGCGAAAGCCUGAUGGAGCGACGCCGCGUGGAGGAUGAAGGAUUUAGGUUCGUAAACUCCUGUCACCAGGGAGAAUAAUGAUAGUACCUGGAGAGGAAGAGACGGCUAACUCUGUGCCAGCAGCCGCGGUAAUACAGAGGUCUCAAGCGUUGUUCGGAUUCACUGGGCGUAAAGCGAGUGUAGGAGGCAUUGUAAGUCGGAUGUGAAAGCUCUGGGCUCAACCCAGAGACUGCAUUCGAUACUGCAAAGCUAGAGGGUCGGAGAGGUAACUGGAAUUUCCGGUGUAGCGGUGAAAUGCGUAGAUAUCGGAAGGAACACCAACGGCGAAGGCAAGUUACUGGAAGACACCUGACUCUGAGACUCGAAAGCUAGGGUAGCGAACGGGAUUAGAUACCCCGGUAGUCCUAGCCGNUAACGUUGCACAUUAGGUGUUGGCGGAAUCGACCCCGUCAGCGCCGUAGCUAACGCGUUAAAUGUGCCCCCUGGGAAGUACGGCCGCAAGGGCUAAACUCAAAGAAAUG